This 492-nucleotide ribosomal RNA is filed under the name uncultured bacterium. Its description in RNAcentral is "partial 16S ribosomal RNA". It matches the Rfam family "Bacterial small subunit ribosomal RNA", at positions 29 to 507 of the family's 1533-position model. The record is from RNAcentral.
AGUGAACGCUGGCGGCAGGCCUUACACAUGCAAGUCGAACGGCAGCAUGAUAUAGGUUGCUAGAUAGAUGGGGAGUGGCGAAGGGGGGAGGAAAACACCGGGGAGUGCCCUGUUGUGGGGGGUAACUAGUAGGAAGACUAGCGAAUACAGCACACACCCUGUGGGGGUAAGAGGGGGGCCGCAACGCACCUUGCGAGAGGAACGGACGCGAUGUCGGAUUAGCUAGUUGGCGGGGUAAAGGCCCACCAAGGCGACGAUCUGUAGCUGGUCUGAGAGGAUGAUCAGCCACACUGGAACUGAGACACGGUCCAGACUCCUACGGGAGGCAGCAGUGGGGAAUUUUGGACAAUGGGCGCAAGCCUGAUCCAGCCAUACCGCGUGUGUGAAGAGGGCCUUCGGGUUGUAAAGCCCUUUUGUUGGGAAAGAAAAGCAUCAGGUUAAUACCCCGCUGUUCUGACGGUACCCAAAGAAUAAGCACCGGCUAACUUCGUG